CCUACGGGUGGCUGCAGUGAGGAAUAUUGGUCAAUGGGCGCGAGCCUGAACCAGCCAAGUAGCGUGAAGGAUGACUGCCCUACGGGUUGUAAACUUCUUUUGUAAGGGAGUAAAGUGGUGCACGUGUGCCUUUUUGUAUAUUCUUUGUGAAUAAGGAUCGGCUAACUCCGUGCCCACAACCGCUGUAAAACCGAGGAUCCGGGCGUUAUCCGGAUUUAAUGGGGUUAAAGGGAGCGUAGAUGGGUUGUUAAGUCAGUUGUGAAAGUUUGCGGCUCAACCGUCAAAUUGCAAUUGAUACUGGUAGUCUUGAGUACAGUUGAGGUAGGCGGAAUUCGUGGUGUAGCGGUGAAAUGCAUAGAUAUCACGAAGAACUCCGAUUGCGAAGGCAGCUUACUAAACUGCAACUGACAUUGAUGCUCGAAAGUGUGGGUAUCAAACAGGAUUAGAUACCCGAGUAGUC
RNAcentral lists this ribosomal RNA (460 nucleotides) under uncultured bacterium. RNAcentral's name for it is "partial 16S ribosomal RNA". It matches the Rfam family "Bacterial small subunit ribosomal RNA", at positions 338 to 795 of the family's 1533-position model. The record is from RNAcentral.